AAAAAUUUAGUUAAACUAUAACAUUAGUCCGUCAAACUAAAAUUACUUUCAAGUAAUUUUUU
Molecule: transfer RNA, 62 nt
Filed under: Pselaphinae sp. 7 EF-2015
Lineage: Eukaryota; Metazoa; Arthropoda; Insecta; Coleoptera; Staphylinidae
Description: tRNA-Asp
Source: RNAcentral